Micropterus salmoides (largemouth bass) is the source of this 404-nucleotide long non-coding RNA. RefSeq lists it as uncharacterized. Lineage: Eukaryota; Metazoa; Chordata; Actinopteri; Centrarchiformes; Centrarchidae. The record is from RefSeq and is a predicted model, not a curated record. The transcript is spliced from 3 exons.
GCUGUUGAUUGUCUAAGAGGGCUAAACAGUUCCUUGGCCCUUGCGCUGGUGCAUCAGCACACCCUUCACUAUCAAAAAACAUCGACCCAGGACCCAGAUUGUCAAUCAAAACCUAGAAGAAAAUCAGCUGCACCAAAACCUCUUCCUCUGUAUCAGAUGGGUGGAAGGCAUCCCGACCUCCAGGCCACUCCUCCAGACCCUCGCAGAUGUCUACCGAGUGAUGAGCUCCGGGCCAACCUGGGACACACACAUUGCUUAGGCUAGGGGAGUGUGGCUGGGGGUCUGGACUGCUUCUCCCUGACUCAGUGUCCUCUGAGCUCACCGAUGCCCUCUGCUGCUUGCUGGGGGAACAACACAAAAAAACACAUCACCAAACAGCAGUGUCAGCAGACACACUCAGGAUA